This 470-nucleotide ribosomal RNA is filed under the name Agrococcus baldri. RNAcentral's name for it is "bacterial SSU rRNA". It matches the Rfam family "Bacterial small subunit ribosomal RNA", at positions 888 to 1356 of the family's 1533-position model. The record is from RNAcentral. Lineage: Bacteria; Bacillati; Actinomycetota; Actinomycetes; Micrococcales; Microbacteriaceae.
GCAAGGCUAAAACUCAAAGGAAUUGACGGGGGCCCGCACAAGCGGCGGAGCAUGCGGAUUAAUUCGAUGCAACGCGAAGAACCUUACCAAGGCUUGACAUAUACGAGAACGCACUGGAGACAGUGAACUCUUUGGACACUCGUAUACAGGUGGUGCAUGGUUGUCGUCAGCUCGUGUCGUGAGAUGUUGGGUUAAGUCCCGCAACGAGCGCAACCCUCGUCCUAUGUUGCCAGCACGUAAUGGUGGGAACUCAUGGGAUACUGCCGGGGUCAACUCGGAGGAAGGUGGGGAUGAGGUCAAAUCAUCAUGCCCCUUAUGUCUUGGGCUUCACGCAUGCUACAAUGGCCAGUACAAUGGGCUGCGAUACCGCAAGGUGGAGCGAAUCCCAAAAAGCUGGUCUCAGUUCGGAUUGAGGUCUGCAACUCGACCUCAUGAAGUCGGAGUCGCUAGUAAUCGUAGAUCAGCAACAG